AUUAGAUACCCUGGGUAGUCCACGCAGUAAACGAUGAAUACUAGCUGUCCGGGGCGAAUGAGCCCUGGGUGGCACAGCGAAAGCGUUAAGUAUUCCACCUGGGGAGUACGCCGGCAACGGUGAAACUCAAAGGAAUUGACGGGGGCCCGCACAAGCGGAGGAACAUGUGGUUUAAUUCGAUGAUACGCGAGGAACCUUACCCGGGCUCAAACGACACAGGAACGGUCCUGAAAGGGGUCGGCUCUACGGAGCCUGUGUCGAGGUGCUGCAUGGUUGUCGUCAGCUCGUGCCGUGAGGUGUCGGCUUAAGUGCCAUAACGAGCGCAACCCCCAUCGACAGUUGCUAACAGGUUAGGCUGAGGACUCUGUCGAGACUGCCGGCGCAAGCUGCGAGGAAGGCGGGGAUGACGUCAAAUCAGCACGGCCCUUACGUCCGGGGCGACACACGUGUUACAAUGGCAGGUACAGCGGGAAGCCACCUGGCGACAGGGAGCGGAACCCGAAAGCCUGUCUCAGUUCGGAUUGGAGUCUGCAACCCGACUCCAUGAAGCUGGAUUCGCUAGUAAUCGCGCAUCAGCCACGGCGCGGUGAAUACGUUCCCGGGCCUUGUACACACCGCCCGUCAAGCCAUGGAAGCCGGGGGUGCCUGAAGUGCGCUGCCGCAAGGAGCGCCCUAGGGUAAAACCGGUGACUGGGGCUAAGUCGUAACAAGGUACC
RNAcentral lists this ribosomal RNA (716 nucleotides) under uncultured bacterium. RNAcentral's name for it is "bacterial SSU rRNA". It matches the Rfam family "Bacterial small subunit ribosomal RNA", at positions 777 to 1500 of the family's 1533-position model. The record is from RNAcentral.